Molecule: ribosomal RNA, 440 nt
Filed under: uncultured bacterium
Lineage: Bacteria
Description: bacterial SSU rRNA
Rfam family: Bacterial small subunit ribosomal RNA
Source: RNAcentral
CCUACGGGAGGCAGCAGUGGGGAAUAUUACACAAUGGGCGCAAGCCUGAUGCAGCGAUGCCGCGUGAGCGAUGAAGGCCUUCGGGUCGUAAAGCUCUGUCCUAAGGGAAGAAUAAUGACGGUACCUUAGGAGGAAGCUCCGGCUAACUACGUGCCAGCAGCCGCGGUAAUACGUAGGGGGCGAGCGUUUUCCGGAAUCACUGGGCGUAAAGGGUGCGUAGGCGGCCCUGCAAGUGAGGAGUUAAAUCCCUCGGCUCAAGCGAGGUCAGCACUGGAAACUGUAGGGCUUGAGUGCAGGGGAGGGGGGCUGAAUUACUAGGGUAGCGGUGAAGUGCGUAGUUAUUAGGUGGAGCACCAGAGGGGAAGGGGGCUCUCUGGACUGCAUGUGACGGUGAGGCACGAAGGCGUGGGGAGCGAACAGGAUUAGCUACCCUUGUAGUC